GACCAUGGCAGCAUGUUUGGGUUCCUACAGACAUUGGGGCCCAGAGCAAGGUCCCCAAGGAAAGACAGAGAUGCUGAGACAGUAGUGGUAGCCCAGAAUGACAGCUACACCCAACGCACUUCCCUCUUUAACCAGGAAGUACUACAGGAGGGUAGAGGGUUAAUCAGAGCCCAGCACCCCGGCAACUCUAAGAUCCAGGACUUCUUGAUUCGGCUGGAGGAGUUAUGGGAGGAGCUAAGGAGACGACAUCACAGGAACCAGGUCUACCUGCAGGCAGGGGAGGAGAUGAGCUUUAGGGUAAGACCCUUCUUCUAGAGUCUAGACCGAUGUUGACCCUGCAGUUAACCUCUCCUAUCAGACAGUACAUCUCUGACCCUUCUUCUAGAGUCUAGACCGACGUUGACCCUGCAGUUAACCUCUCCUAUCAGACAGUACAUCUCUGACCCUUCUUCUAGAGUCUAGACCGAUGUUGACCCUGCAGUUCUACCCCCCCCCCCCCCCCCCCAUCCUCUCUCCUCCCAGACAGUACAUCUCCUCCAGGCCUUGGGUAGUAUAGAAGCCUGGUUGGAGGCAGCAGAGCUGUCCAUGUCGAACUCCCAGUUGGCAGUAGACCCAGAGACCAUGAGGCUGGCUGAGAGAGACAGCUGCCUGCUCCAGACAGAGAUGUCCUGCCGGGGAAUGGAGCUAACAGCACUCAGACAGGAGAUGGACAGGCUGGGUGGUCAGCGGGAGGGUCAGUGCCCAGGAUACCCCAACACUGAGGGCCUUCAGGUGCCACAACACCACACACAGGUCCUCCCAGAUCUUAUGGACCAGGUGGAGAGAAAGUACCAACGUGUCCAGACCGCGUUGACCCAGCAGAGUUCGUCGCUGCAGGACACCAGGAUGCUGACAGAGUUUCUGGAGCGGGUGGAGCUAGAGGAGAGGGUGGAGCUAGAGGAGACCCAGAAGGCCAGGGGGAGGGGCUACAGCAGUAACCUUGGACAGCCUCUCCACGGUGAGAUCAGCUCAGCUCUUACCCUGCUGGGUGAUGGGUGUGGAAGCGGUGGUGGGGAGCCAAUGAUGGAGCCGCUGGGAAACCCUGUAGAGGAGCUGCAGGAGGCAGUGGAGAUGUUGAAUGACACGGUCAGAGAGAGAGGACGAUCACAGAAUCACAUCCAUGAUCAAGCCAUCCAGACUAUGAUCCGACAGCUGGCUGUGCUGUCAGUGCGUGUGGAGGACAGUCUGUGCUGCAGUAGAAAGCUGAACCAGGAACUCCUACAGAGAGAGAAAGACAUGGCCAUGCGCUGUGAACCAGAACAAUGUGGACUAGAGGGACUGAAGGAACAGCAAGAAAACCUAGAGGUGAAUUAUGCUGUGCUGAAGGAAGAGGUGGAGGAGCUCCAGAGACAGACUGGUUAUCUGGAGGAGCUAUGCCCAGAGAGAGUGACCUUCCUGGCGGUGGAGGUGCAGGGAGCCCUGGGGGUAUGGAGGGAAUUGAGGAGGAACGUAGAGGGGAACAGAGACAGAUUACGACAGUUUGUUCACCUGCAGGACUUCUUCAGGACCUACCUGGCCAUGAUAUCGUGGAUGGAGGACACCCGGGAGUGUAUUUUCUCUGAGAGAGUGUUGCAUUGUGGGAGGGACGACCAGGAGCCAAUGGCUGCGGUGAUGGAGAUGGACGUCCAGAUAGACAGAAAGUUGGAGGAGUUGGAGGAGAUGGAUGCUGCAGGGAGGAACCUGCUGAACGCUGAGCACCACCUGGCCAACAUGAUCCAUGAGCGUCUGGAGGAGUUGAGGUCCAUGCUGGGAUGGAUGCUGGUCCACUGGAGAAACCAGAAACACCAGAGGAGUCAACGCAGGAAUAACGAGACUGAACCUAAUGAAGAUCUUAUCGACUCUGAGCCCCCAACAGAGCAGACUUCUGGAGAUAAUAUCUACUCAAAGACCACAGUAGAGUCCACUAGAGACAACAUCUACUCAGAGACCACAGUAGAGUCCACUAGAGACAACAUCUACUCAGAGACCACAGUAGAGUCCACUAGAGACAACAUCUACUCAGAGACCACAGUAGAGUCCACUAGAGACAACAUCUACUCAGAGACCACAGUAGAGUCCACUAGAGACAACAUCUACUCAGAGACCACAGGAGCAGAUAUCUACACAGAUGAUACAGCCUGCUCCACCCACAGUACCCCUGCUCAGCCAGAGACCCACAGUACCCCUGCUCAGCCAGAGACCCACUUUACCCCUGAACUGAGUGUCUUUGAGGACAGACUGAGGAAAAUAGACACUCUGUACUGUCCCGCAACAGACCAGCAAAGUUGGAAGGACCAAGAGGAUGGCUAUCAGGUGAUGAACAGCAACACAGGGCCUCUAAGGGGCCUCACCUCUCCCCCAGAGACCCACCAAUCCCCCUGCCUGGUCUUAAAAGAGCCCAGCAGCCCAGCCCUCUGCCUGGGGGGCACCAUGAGCCUAGGGGGCACCUCAGUCAACAGCAGCCCUAAGGUUAGAAUGGGGGGGCAGGGGGUUAGCUUGGUGGGCCAGGGGGUUCGCCUGGGGAACCAGGGGGGAAUGGUCUACCUAGGGGGCACCGUCAAGAACAGCCCUACCCUCAGCCUUGGAGGCAGUGUGGACCUGGGGGGUACUGUCAAUCUCAUCCUCAGCUUGGGGAACCAAGGAGACAGUCAUGUGGAGGUGAUGGAGGCUAAUCCUAGGGUGGGUGAGGAGGAGAGCACAGAGCCUGUCCACAGGGACAACAACAUGACAUCAGCUCCUGCAUACGAGAGUAUUUUACUGCCCCGCCUCCACACCAAGACCUCCUCCUCUUCAUCCCCCUCCUCCUCCUCCGGGGCUCCUCAAUCUUGCGUCUCUUUCUCCUCCUCCCUGCCCAAGAACACCUCCAUCUUCUCUAGUCUGAAGAUAAGGAGCAAGAAGAGGAGAAGGAAGAGAGACGCUGGCCGCCACACCAUUCAGAAAAUCAUGGUUGUAGAGGGGGAGGAGCAGACAGAGGUGGCAUGUCCUGCUGAAGCUGCACCCCAGCAAAUCACGCUGUACGACACCCAGACCUGGCCAAUGAAGGAGGGCCGGAGGAAGAAGAAGAGCCUAUUAAAGGCCGAGGGGGUGGGGCCAGGGCAGGGGGUGGAACUCGUGGACUACAUGGAUAACCCAUUGGCCAGGGAUAUUGAAGAUGAAUGUUCUGGGGUCUCCACUGUCAGCCCCUAUGCAGUGACAGAGGCAGUCUCUAUAGCUCCACCCAGGGGCCAGGUGAGGAGCCACUGCAGGUUCCUGUCUCUGGGGUCUGUUUUGACCUUCGACCUCUCCAAAGACAUGAGGUUGAUCCCCAGUAUACAGGAUGUCAUCACUAUAGGACUCCCAGAACACAGGGGAACCCCCAACCCAAACCUCAAUCCCAACCCUCACACAGAGACACAUGCAGCCCUCAGCUCUUUCAAACAUACCCGCUCCCCUCCCUCAGACACGCACAGAGGACCAGACAAUGAGGCCGUCACUACUUACAGAUAUGAAACAAUGACACAGAUACAGACACAGCCACUACUGACACUGACACUGACACAGCCACUACUGACAAAGACACAACCACUACCGACACAGACACAACCACUACUGACACAGAUACAGACACAGACACAACCAUUACUGACACAGACACAGCCACUACUGAGACAGACACCGACACAAAUACUAAAACAGACAAAGCCACUGACACAGGCUGUUCAGCUAGAGCCUCUGUCUAAUCUAGAUACAGAUUUUCCUCCUCCUCCUCCUCCUGCCCUGGAUGAGGACUGGGAUCAGAACGUAUCAAGCAAUGACCUAUCCCUAUCACAGAUCCAGACCGUACUCCAGGAGCCUGAGCAAGAGUGGUCGGAGCUCAUCUUCAGCAAGCAACCACCAAUCACAGCUUAUUGCCCAAAGAGUCCCACUCCAAUGAACCGAGACCAUUACAAUUACAUGGAAACGACCAUGGUUAGUAGAAGUCCUAUUGUAAAGAGCAAGGACCCCUGUCCCUCCUCAGCCUAUCAGAACCAUGAGAGCAAGGACCCCUGUCCCUCCUCAGCCUAUCAGAACCAUGAGCGCAAGGACCCCUGUCCCUCCUCAGCCUAUCAGAACCAUGAGCGCAAGGACCCCUGUCCCUCCUCAGCCUAUCAGAACCAUGAGCGCAAGGACCCCUGUCCAUCCUCAGCCUAUAAGAACCAUGAGAGCAAGGACCCCUGUCCCUCCUCAGCCUAUCAGAACCACGAGUGCCUCAUUCAGGACCUCAAUGGACACCAGUACCAUCAUAGGUUGAAGACCCAUAGAGAGAGUGUUGACCUCCAGGAGACCAGCCAGGCUUCUCAGAUGGUUGUGAAUCUGAAGGUCAGUGGGUUAGGGAGUAUGAUGCAAGACUCUAUGGACUCUGGCAUCUCUGGUGUCUCCAACUCUGGGAGCUUGAAGCUCAAUGCACCUGAUGUUCUCCAAGAGCCCCAGCCCAUGAGGACUGUGGUGGGGAGGCUAGUGUCUCUGGAGGAGGGGCGCAUGGAGGCUGUGUCCACACCCAGGGAAAAUCCCACAGAAACCCCAGCUCCUGCCCACCCAGAGACAAAAACAACACCCAGAAACAGACACCACCAGACAGAGACAGAACUCGACUCUGAUCCGCUCGACCCCGACCUCACCAUCCAUCCAGACCACCAGCAGUUUGAGGAGGUAGAGGAGGAGCUGGAGGACAUCUGGAACCAUAGCAAUGGCUACAGACAGAGUAUCUCCUCUGACAUCAUGUACCAGCCACACCAAGAGGAGAAGGAGGGGGGAAGUAGCAACACCCCAGGACUGACCACAGACCCCCUCUCACCCCCCCAGGCCCAGCCCCAGGCUACCCCCUACAGGAAGCUGAUAACAACUUCUGCCCCUAACCUUCUGGUGGCUGAAUUCACACUCCCCUCCUCCCUCCAAACCCUACUGGGGUACAACCAGGACCAGAACCAGGACCAGGGCUUUAGCCAAGACCCUAACUCCAGAGAAGAGCUCCCUAUGCUGGCUAACAGAGACAUGAGGUCCUGGGCAGCUUUCCCUAUUCAGGACCAACCCUGGAGGACCACACCACUGGUCAAUGAAACGGCAGCAGAACCAGUCAAGCUGCCGGAAAUGGAGGACCAGAAGAGAUAUAUCUACCAUUAUAGAGAGGAGGAGGAAGAGGAUGAGGAGGAGAAGAUGGAGGACACAGGUUGUCCAAAGGACCCAUCAAUGAGUCUGCUGUCUGUCCACAUGGGUCUGCACGGAAACAAUCAGCGAGCUACAAGUUGUGGCACUCUGGAAGGUGUCAUGGAAAAGCAUGGAGAGAGUCUGGCCACAGGGGGGCGAUGUGGCACUAUGAAUGGGAGUGGGUCUGAGCUGCAGACGAUGGAGGGAACUCUGGAGAGGAAACACAAGCUGCAGCUGGGAGGGAAGAAGAACUGUGUGUGUGGCCUGUCUCUAACCCUGACGGGAGCAGAAUGUGUCUCAGCCCCAGAGAACACUAAGAAACCACAGUGUUUCAGUCUGCGCUUAAGAGAUGGCUCAGAGUACCUCCUCAACACAGCAAACCGAUUCAUGAUGAAGAAAUGGAUGCUGAAAAUACAAGCCAACAGUGUGCCCAGUGAGCAUGUCUCCUCCAUGACGUCACCCAGCGACCUCUUGGUUCAGGACCACCCCGCCCCCUUCACCACCUCUUUCCUCUCACAAAGUACCAGCAGGGGGACGACCAGAGCCAAGGAGAUAGUUGUCCUGACCAGAGAGACCAGAGAGACUCACCGUCAGAUCCCUCAGUUGCACCCAGAGAAACAGCAGGACCCAACAUCCUCAUCACAUACAGGCCGUCGUGAAGAUAACUAUGACUCCCUGAGACAGAAACUGUGUGGUAGAUCCAGGGAGAACAGCCCUUCCUCCUUGCACUCCUCCAUCUCUCCUUUCUCCCUCCACAACUCGUCCUCCAUCCCUCCAUUCUCCCUCCACUCCCCUGUCUCUCCUCCUUUCUCCUCUGUCUAUAGAGGUGGUCAGGACUGGCUCAGUCAAGUGAACAAGUGUCACUCAUUUACCUCAGCAAGGUACCAGAAUAUUAAACCAGCGUUGCUGCCCCCAGGAGGCAGAGGCCGGGACUACGGAUCAGUGGGUCUGGACUGUGGGUCAAACUACUCCGUGACUAUGAUUAUAGGAGACAAGCAGUCUGCCGCCUCUCCCACUCUCAGUUGUGAUGGUAGUGGUCCAUCUAUCACCAGUCACACUGACCCACAGCGCCCCCUGCUGGAUGGAUGGCAGCACCACUCAUAUCACCAGGACUCUACUACAAGAAGGCAGCUUCACCGGCACCAAGCAAUGUACCACCACGACCAGGAACCAUCUCUGAGGUCCUGCACCGGUCUGCCUCCGCCACGCAAGAAGUCUGUCUUCAACAAGUUCUUUGGGAAGAAAGACUGA
RNAcentral lists this long non-coding RNA (6432 nucleotides) under Oncorhynchus mykiss (rainbow trout). RNAcentral describes it as "lncRNA (ENSOMYG00000065139.1)". Lineage: Eukaryota; Metazoa; Chordata; Actinopteri; Salmoniformes; Salmonidae. The record is from RNAcentral.